ACCAGCUCUAGGAACAGCUAACUCUCUUCCAGUAUUCUUCUGAUGGAAAAGGGAUUCAAAUACCCAUGGAGAGAGUCACCAGUGGCCUUAAUUGCUUAUGUUUCCGAGGCAGUUUACUUUACAAGACUUUUGAUUUUUGUUCUUAUUUUUGAAACCUUAUUUUUAAUACGGCUUUAAUGGCAACAAAAAUGAAGUCUUCUGACCCACUACCAUAUCUGGGUAAAAUCUUUGGCUCAACGGAUGGCUUAAAUAUGACCUUUUUCAGUUUCAAGCAGGUUCCAUUGAGAGGCAUCUAGCAACUCUGGAUACAUCAACAACCUUGAUUCACCUUCAAGGAACAUUACCUAGAAAACACUAUAAAGUGUGGCUGUGAUGCAUGGAGACCAGCAACCCCAAGUCAUACCCUUCACUGUGGAAGAAUUGGGGUAAAUAUCAACAAUUGGUACAUAUCACUAUCAACAAUUGGUAAAUAUCAAUAAUUACAUCAUGUCCCUUCUGUUUGUCAAUAGUAAAUGAAGUUACAUUGUUUCAUUUGUUUGCAAUAGUUAAGCAUCACCAAAAUAAAAAAAUUAACACUUUGAGGACUAGAGUUUUCUUCAUAUGGUGAGCUGCUAUCUAGUAGGUUAGGAAGCCUUAUAAAUAUCAUAAAAAGAUAUCACUCCUGUAAGUAAGAAGCCACUCACCAUUUUCUAAUGCUUAGAUACAUAUUUUGAUUAUGCCAAAUGCAAAAUUGAUUUUUAAAACUUUAUUCAACUUCAUGAUAUGAAGAAGAAAUAGAGGCAAUAAGCAGUAUUUAAAGCAUUUGACUAUGUCACUGAUCC
Molecule: long non-coding RNA, 821 nt
Filed under: Homo sapiens (human)
Lineage: Eukaryota; Metazoa; Chordata; Mammalia; Primates; Hominidae
Description: HSALNT0281032
Source: RNAcentral